GGACUACCGGGGUUUCUAAUCCUGUUUGCUACCCACGCUCUCGCGCCUCAGUGUCAGUAUUGGUCCAGGUGGCCGCCUUCGCCACGGAUGUUCCUUCCGAUCUCUACGCAUUUCACCGCUACACCGGAAAUUCCACCACCCUCUACCAUACUCUAGCCAUUCAGUCUGAGUGGACAUUCCCAGGUUAAGCCCAGGGAUUUCACCACUCACUUAUUCAGCCACCUACGCGCCCUUUACGCCCAGUAAUUCCGAUUAACGCUUGCACCCUCUGUAUUACCGCGGCUGCUGGCAC
RNAcentral lists this ribosomal RNA (292 nucleotides) under uncultured bacterium. RNAcentral's name for it is "partial 16S ribosomal RNA". The record is from RNAcentral.